Molecule: ribosomal RNA, 485 nt
Filed under: uncultured bacterium
Lineage: Bacteria
Description: bacterial SSU rRNA
Rfam family: Bacterial small subunit ribosomal RNA
Source: RNAcentral
ACGACGCUGGCGGCGUGCCUAACACAUGCAAGUCGAACGGAGAUAAGCGCUGAUGAAGUAGCUUGCUAUUGAUUCUUGCUUAUCUUAGUGGCGGACGGGUGAGUAACGCGUGAGCAACCUGCCUUUCAGAGGGGGAUAACGUCUUGAAAAGGACGCUAAUACCGCAUGACAUUGCGAGAUCACAUGGUCUUGCAAUCAAAGGAGCAAUCCGCUGAAAGAUGGGCUCGCGUCCGAUUAGAUAGUUGGCGGGGUAACGGCCCACCAAGUCGACGAUCGGUAGCCGGACUGAGAGGUUGAACGGCCACAUUGGGACUGAGACACGGCCCAGACUCCUACGGGAGGCAGCAGUGAGGGAUAUUGGUCAAUGGGGGAAACCCUGAACCAGCAACGCCGCGUGAGGGAUGACGGUCUUCGGAUUGUAAACCUCUGUCCUCUGUGAAGAUAAUGACGGUAGCAGAGGAGGAAGCUCCGGCUAACUACGUGCC